AACAGAAGUUUUAGGGCGUUGAUACUUCACCUUCUCCCUUUUGGGAGAUAUAAGGGGUGGCGUUCACAAUUUUGCUCCGUUGAAUUUAUAGUGUCAUUUGAAACUUCUGUCACCGGACUAGUAGGUAUAUCUUCUAAAUCCUCUUCUCCCAAAUCAACUUCUACUUCUUCACCUCCAAAUGACAACAUUUUCUAUCCUUAUCCUUA
This 206-nucleotide unclassified non-coding RNA is filed under the name Hevea brasiliensis (rubber tree). The record is from RNAcentral. Lineage: Eukaryota; Viridiplantae; Streptophyta; Magnoliopsida; Malpighiales; Euphorbiaceae.